Molecule: ribosomal RNA, 253 nt
Filed under: uncultured bacterium
Lineage: Bacteria
Description: partial 16S ribosomal RNA
Rfam family: Bacterial small subunit ribosomal RNA
Source: RNAcentral
UACGUAGGUGGCAAGCGUUGUCCGGAUUUCUUGGGUUUAAAGGGUGCGUAGGCGGCCCUGUAAGUCAGUGCUGAAAUAUCCCAGCUUAACUGGGAGGGUGGCAUUGAUACUGCGGGGCUAGAGUACAGAUGAGGUAGGCGGAAUUGACGGUGUAGCGGUGAAAUGCUUAGAUAUCGUCAAGAACACCUAUAGCGAAGGCAGCUUACUAGGCUGUAACUGACGCUGAGGCACGAAAGCGUGGGGAGCAAACAGG